CAGCACUUCCAGCCCCUCCAAAACACAGCACCCCCGUACCUGCAGCCUCGGCAUGCCUCAGGGAGAAAGCCGUCCUUCCAGAUAACCUAGAAGAGAACCUUGAAAUGUGGGACCUUACUCCAGACUUAGAGGACAUCAUUAAGCCCUUGUGUAGAACAGAACCACCCCAAACCUCUGUCACCCGAACCCUCAACAACCAGGCGGUGAUCCAGGACAGUGUCCCACAUAUCCAUUGCCACCAGAAAGUACAAGAAAAACCUGGACCUGGGCACCUGCAGACCUGCAGCACUAAUCAGCAUGUCCUAGGUAGCAGAGGUUCGUGGAAGAGCAGAGAUUCUGGGUUUAAUUCUAUCAAAUGGAAAGGAAAGAAAACUCUGAAUCUCAUAGGAAGAGCCAGGACCUGAAGAAAAGGAAACUAGAUCCAUCCUGAAGCUCAAUAAGUUACUAGAUUCUGCCACAAAAGGACUUUGGAAAAUGCAGUUUGGUCACCAAAUUAUUCCCAUCUUGGUUCAUGCUGAACUCUUUAGAGCCUACUGUAGAGGAAGCUGACUACAAGAGGUUGUUGUACCCUGUGAUGGGAAAGAGGCCAACAGAUGCUUUAACUUUUUUCAGUAUUGCUUACUCCUAAGCCAAUGCAUUGAGAUUCUAGGAAGGCUGCCUUCCGUUUUAACGAUGUAGCUCACCAAACCCAGUUUCAUUGCCACCUACAUUAAAUCACGUGUGACCUUGCCUUUC
This 735-nucleotide long non-coding RNA is filed under the name Rattus norvegicus (Norway rat). RNAcentral's name for it is "long non-coding RNA NONRATT020855". The record is from RNAcentral. Lineage: Eukaryota; Metazoa; Chordata; Mammalia; Rodentia; Muridae.